RNAcentral lists this ribosomal RNA (432 nucleotides) under uncultured bacterium. RNAcentral describes it as "partial 16S ribosomal RNA". It matches the Rfam family "Bacterial small subunit ribosomal RNA", at positions 29 to 506 of the family's 1533-position model. The record is from RNAcentral.
AACGAACGCUGGCGGCAUGCCUAACACAUGCAAGUCGAACGAUGCCUUCGGGCAUAGUGGCGCACGGGUGCGUAACGCGUGGGAAUCUGCCUUUCGGUUCGGAAUAACUCAGGGAAACUUGAGCUAAUACCGGAUAACGUCGCAAGACCAAAGAUUUAUCACCGAAAGAUGAGCCCGCGUAGGAUUAGCUAGUUGGUGAGGUAAAGGCUCACCAAGGCGACGAUCCUUAGCUGGUCUGAGAGGAUGAUCAGCCACACUGGGACUGAGACACGGCCCAGACUCCUAAGGGAGGCAGCAGUGGGGAAUAUUGGACACUGGGCGAAAGCAUGAUCCAGCAAGGCCGCGUAAGUGAUGAAGGCCUUAGGGUUGUAAAGCUCUUUUACCCGGGAAGAUAAUGACGGUACCGGGAGAAUAAGCCCCGGCUAACUCCGG